UACGUAGGGGGCAAGCGUUGCCCGGAAUCAUUGGGCGUAAAGAGCGUGUAGGCGGCCCGAUAAGUCCGCCGUGAAAGUCCAGGGCUCAACCCUGGAAUGCCGGUGGAAACUGUCGGGCUGGAGUCCGGAAGAGGCGAGUGGGAUUCCUGGUGUAGCGGUGAAAUGCGCAGAUAUCAGGAGGAACACCAAUGGCGAAGGCAGCUCGCUGGGACGGUACUGACGCUGAGACGCGAAAGCGUGGGGAGCAAACAGG
Molecule: ribosomal RNA, 253 nt
Filed under: uncultured bacterium
Lineage: Bacteria
Description: partial 16S ribosomal RNA
Rfam family: Bacterial small subunit ribosomal RNA
Source: RNAcentral